Long non-coding RNA from Gallus gallus (chicken), 620 nucleotides. The record is from Ensembl. Lineage: Eukaryota; Metazoa; Chordata; Aves; Galliformes; Phasianidae.
GAUUGGGAGUAGAACCGGAUUGGAGCAGAACCGGAGCGGGGCUGGGAACGCUCUGAAUUGAACCGGAUCUGGAGUGGAAUCGGAUCGGAACCGGAUCGGAACGGAUCGGAACCGAAGUGGGUCAGAACUGAAGCAGAUCAGGAGUGGGAUUCGUCCAGAACGGAACUGGAUCAGAACGGAACCGGAUCAGAUCAGAACUGAACCAAAUGAGGAGUGGAAGUGGAUCAGAACCCAAAGCGGAUUAGGAGUGAAACCGGAUCAGAACCGAACUGGGACCCGGGGGUGGCAGCGGCUGUGUGGGGCCCCCCCACAGCACAGCGGGAGCUGCAGGAGCUGCGGGAGCGCAUGGAGAGGCUCCAGGAGGACUUUGCCGCCUCUCAGCAUCUGAACCGGGUCCUGGGGGAGCGCCUGCAGGGUCUGGCGCAGGCGGUGGCCCUCCAGAGGGUGGCGCUGUCCCAGGGGUUGGCUGAGGCCCUACAGCAGUUCCUGGUGACCCCAACGGGGCAGGAGGUGGCCGUGGGGGUACAGAUGCCCCCAUGGGGUCGGACCCCCCGUGAUGGCAAUGGGGACAGCGAGGAGGGGCCGCUGCCGCCCCCCCCCGGCCUUCCGGGACCCCCCCG